This 253-nucleotide ribosomal RNA is filed under the name uncultured bacterium. RNAcentral's name for it is "partial 16S ribosomal RNA". It matches the Rfam family "Bacterial small subunit ribosomal RNA", at positions 524 to 776 of the family's 1533-position model. The record is from RNAcentral.
UACGUAGGGGGCAAGCGUUGUCCGGAUUUAUUGGGCGUAAAGAGCGUGUAGGCGGCUUGGUAGGUCCGCUGUGAAAACUCGAGGCUCAACCUCGAGAUGUCGGCGGAAACCACUUGGCUAGAGUGCGGGAGAGGAGAGUGGAAUUCCUGGUGUAGCGGUGAAAUGCGCAGAUAUCAGGAGGAACACCAAUUGCGAAGGCAGCUCGCUGGGACGUAACUGACGCUGAGACGCGAAAGCGUGGGGAGCAAACAGG